UACGUAGGGACCAAGCGUUGUUCGGAUUUACUGGGCGUAAAGGGCGCGUAGGCGGCAUGACAAGUCACUUGUGAAAUCUCCGGGCUUAACUCGGAACGGUCAAGUGAUACUGUCGCGCUAGAGUGCGGAAGGGGCAAUCAGAAUUCUUGGUGUAGCGGUGAAAUGCGUAGAUAUUGGGAGGAACACCAGUGGCGAAGGCGGCUCGCUGGACCGGUUCUGACGCUGAGGCGCGAAAGCGUGGGGAGCAAACGGG
Molecule: ribosomal RNA, 253 nt
Filed under: uncultured bacterium
Lineage: Bacteria
Description: partial 16S ribosomal RNA
Rfam family: Bacterial small subunit ribosomal RNA
Source: RNAcentral